UUGUAACUGGAGGAAAGCAAUGGAGCCUGCAUUCCAUGGUAUUUACCAAUAUAUGCCUUCAAGAGGUGUCUAAACUCCUUCCCAGUAACUGAUUAGCCAGUCUGUGCUAGCGGGAAGUCUCCAUGGCCCUCCUCAGCACACAGCUCCUUGUUAACGCUGGAGCGGUGCGCCAUCGUCUGGGAAAGCCGGGAACGGCCUGGAAGGUGAAGAUAAUCUUUGUUCAUACAGGUGUGUCAGACUUGUUCUCACAGGGGGCCUGGAAACAGGAACAUGAGAAAUCUGUUAAAAAAUGCAGAAUAAUUGUAUGCUACGUUGAAAUAUGGAGCAUCAUCUUAACUAUGAAAAUGGUUUUUUACAGUGCUUUUCUCAAAAAUUCUGUUUUGCAAUUAAAAGGCCAGAUACUAGAAUUAUACAGUAACUAGUUUUAUAAGUUCACAUUUCAUCAGUUUAUUUAGGGGUUUAUUAAAUAAUUUCUUUGUGUGUGCUUUUGGAAAAAGAAAUAGAAAGAUUGCAGGGACUUGGGUGUUCUUAAUGCACCUUUGAUAAAAGCAAAAUUUAGUCGCCUUGC
This is a non-coding RNA of Cyanistes caeruleus (blue tit), 568 nucleotides long. The record is from RefSeq and is a predicted model, not a curated record. Lineage: Eukaryota; Metazoa; Chordata; Aves; Passeriformes; Paridae.